GAUGAACGCUGGCGGCGUGCCUAAUACAUGCAAGUCGAGCGAACGGACGAGAAGCUUGCUUCUCUGAUGUUAGCGGCGGACGGGUGAGUAACACGUGGAUAACCUACCUAUAAGACUGGGAUAACUUCGGGAAACCGGAGCUAAUACCGGAUAAUAUCUUGAACCGCAUGGUUCAAAAGUGAAAGACGGUCUUGCUGUCACUUAUAGUUAGAUCCGCUCUGCAUUAGCUAGUUGGUAAGGUAACGGCUUACCAAGGCAACGAUGCAUAGCCGACCUGAGAGGGUGACCGGCCAAACGGGAACGGGGACACGGUCCAGACUCCUACGGGAGGCAGCAGUAGGGAAUCUUCCGAAAUGGGCGAAAGCCUGACGGAGCAACGCCGCGUGAGUGAUGAAGGUCUUCGGAUCGUAAAACUCUGUGAUUAGGGAAGAAGAUAUGUGUAAGUAACUGUGCACAUCUUGACGGUACCUGAUCAGAAAGCCACGGCUAACUACGUG
This 497-nucleotide ribosomal RNA is filed under the name uncultured bacterium. RNAcentral's name for it is "partial 16S ribosomal RNA". It matches the Rfam family "Bacterial small subunit ribosomal RNA", at positions 28 to 507 of the family's 1533-position model. The record is from RNAcentral.